Lolium rigidum is the source of this 2159-nucleotide long non-coding RNA. RefSeq lists it as uncharacterized. The record is from RefSeq and is a predicted model, not a curated record. The transcript has 10 exons. NCBI's taxonomy places the organism in Eukaryota, Viridiplantae, Streptophyta, Magnoliopsida, Poales, Poaceae.
GUACUUACCAUGUUUUCUCGCAAACAGGACACACAUUGUCUGAAAUGAAUGUAGAACAAGCUGACUGCCGGAAUCAUGAGAGGGUGUUGUGGUACUGACUUCUCCAUUGUGGCUAGCUGGUUAGGAAAGGAAUAAAUAGUACUUAGAUAAUAAAUAGUAUGGUGUUUCUUCCCGGCUUCCCGCUAAUACAGUUUUAGAUUAUAACUAGACAAUCGGUAAAUCAAAUGAAUGAUCAUUCAUGUACAUGCUUCAUGCCUUAGGUCUAGCUUGAUAAGAGAGAAAGAACAUGUUUAUAUCCGCAUGACCAUGAUUAUGAUGUCAAACAAAUGACUAUGCUUUCCUUUUAGAGUUUUUUUUCAUUUACAUGAGCUGUAUUUUCUAAUGGAACAUAUGCUAAUAGUAAAACUCAUGUGUGAUUAUAUUUCCUGCUGGUGAUUCCGGGCAAAGAUGUAGUGAUAAUCCAUGAUCCCCUACCCGUCUCUAGCCUGGCGCUGGGCUGAUUGAACCAGAGUCCCCAGGCACACUGCAGGGCAGCGACCACAUUAGUUUUCAUGUUGUGUAUAGCAGCUGUAGUGUAAUACUCCAAAUUGAUGAAAUAAAUGUUUGAGCUUUUUUUGAAGUGGAACAUAGGUAAUGGUGGAAACAUUUAUCCAUUAUAUCAUUGUGUCAAGUCGAGCACAUUGGCCUUGACGGCAUGAGGCCCAGUACCAUCAAGUUUGUUUCCUUCUUUGCUUUUCUGCUUGCUAGGCUUGUUCUAUCUCUAAAAGGCGCUAGCCUACUCGGCCAACCAGAGCACCCAAAGGGGCAAACCUUCGUUGGUCGUCCGAUCGGUGCUGGACAGUAAAUUUUGCCUCCCGCAGCGUUUGAUCACCGUCCAUUUUACCUUUUCCUCGUUCACGUUAGCGCUAUGCUGAGAAGUCUAUGACAUUUGGGGUCUCCUUUGAGUGGGGUCGCGUGGCUGAGGCAAGAGGGCUCGUGCUGUGAGUCUGUCAUUUCUCUUGGCUAAGGUGAAAACCUAGACACCACGAUUGGCUCCGCUUCCUCCUGUCCUCCCCAAUCCGCCGCAUUCUCUCUUCCUCCCAUUUUGCCCAACUCAGGUCGCCCAGGAGGUGAAGAGGAGGCAGGGUGGACCGCGCAUCGACCUCGCCGCUCCUCUUCCGAGCGUUGGAGAAGCAUGGUCGGGAGGCAGCGCGGGCGCCGCCGCCUCGUGCCUCGCUCGGGCCGCUGUGUAGAGCGCCAGGAGGCCAUGGUAGCCGCCGGUCGCGGGCAUCAGGCCGAGGCCGCGUCAGCCGCCGCCCCAGCGGUCUUCUCUCUCUACCCACAGGGUGGUCGCCCUCUCUGGUGCGUCGGAGCGCCGGAUCGAGCGAUGUGAAUCAGUGGUGAGCCAAGCUGCAUGGAGCAGCCAUUGGUGGAGAGGACGCCACGCCGACGAGCAGUGGUGGUCACCCAGAUCCCAGCAAAGCAUGGGGACGGGUGUCCUCUGCCAGACCUGGGCUUCCUUGUCAACGAUCUCACCAUCUACAGCAGCUCCGCAGCCUUGCAGUGUACUGCUUGCUGAAAAAUUGUCAAUGAAUCAAGUCGUGGGGAAAAAGUGAAAGCAGGCAAAGCGAGUUAUGACAAUAAUGUGUGAUUGUUCUGAAAGUGAGCAGACAUACGGCGGUACUCUAGCCAUAGAGUGAGAUGGAAAAUUAAGUCCAUGUCCAGGAUGGUGCGGGCUGGAGCGGUGGAGGUUCGGCGUCUUCGCCUCACUGCCAUGCAUAGAGCUGCUGCUACUGCUAUGCCUUUCUUCUCAAUGUCUCUUGGGUUGUUUCUUGCUGCUGCUGCUGGCACUUGGCUGAGAAUCUUCUAUUUUCCUUACUGCGAGUCUACGUUGCUCCUACACUUCUUCCACGUUCAUUUAUGCUUGUACGAUCUGUUCUAUGUGUAUGUGCAUUGCAGCUUCUUUGGAAGGUUCCUUACUGCCUCUCUGGCCCUCCUAGGAUAGAAAAGCUUGUCGCGGUCACCGAGAGCUCGCAUAGGAGCCGCCGUGAGCACUGUCUCCUGGGAGCCGCCAUGAAUCUUGCACACGACGUCCAGACCUCGAUUGUAGGACAUGGGCCGCCAUGAAGGAAUUAAACGAUGCGGUACAACAACUUCAGCAGGGGACAGUAGAGACCAUG